This 301-nucleotide ribosomal RNA is filed under the name uncultured bacterium. RNAcentral's name for it is "partial 16S ribosomal RNA". It matches the Rfam family "Bacterial small subunit ribosomal RNA", at positions 509 to 807 of the family's 1533-position model. The record is from RNAcentral.
CAGUCGCCACGGUAAUACAGAGGGUGCGAGCGUUAAUCGGAUUUACUGGGCGUAAAGCGUGCGUAGGCGGCUUCUUAAGUCGGAUGUGAAAUCCCUGAGCUUAACUUAGGAAUUGCAUUCGAUACUGGGAAGCUAGAGUAUGGGAGAGGAUGGUAGAAUUCCAGGUGUAGCGGUGAAAUGCGUAGAGAUCUGGAGGAAUACCGAUGGCGAAGGCAGCCAUCUGGCCUAAUACUGACGCUGAGGUACGAAAGCAUGGGGAGCAAACAGGAUUAGAUACUCCAGUAGUCCCUGUCUCUUAUAC